CAACUUUCAACAACGGAUCUCUUGGUUCUGGCAUCGAUGAAGAACGCAGCGAAAUGCGAUAAGUAGUGUGAAUUGCAAAAUUCAAUGAAUCCACCAAUCUUUGAACGCCCAUUGCGCCCUUUGGUAUUCCAAAGGGCAUGCCUGUGCC
Molecule: ribosomal RNA, 148 nt
Filed under: Alternaria citrimacularis
Lineage: Eukaryota; Fungi; Ascomycota; Dothideomycetes; Pleosporales; Pleosporaceae
Description: 5.8S ribosomal RNA
Rfam family: 5.8S ribosomal RNA
About the family: 5.8S ribosomal RNA (5.8S rRNA) is a component of the large subunit of the eukaryotic ribosome. It is transcribed by RNA polymerase I as part of the 45S precursor that also contains 18S and 28S rRNA.
Source: RNAcentral